GCAGCAUAUGGAGGUUCCCAGGCUAGGGGUCAAAUCGGACCUGUAGCCCCCUGCCUACACCAGAGCCACAGCAACGCGGGAUCUGAGCCGCGUCUGUGACCUACACCACAGCUCACGGCAAUGCCGGAUCCUUAACCCACUGAGCAAGGGCAGGGAUCGAACCCGCAACCUCAUGGUUCCUGGUCGGAUAGGUUAACCACUGUACCAUGACGACGGGAACUCCUGUCACAUUUUUAAUUAAUUCCAUCAAAUGUCUCCUAAUCAGAAGCAUUCUACCCAGAUUCUUCACCUCUAACAACAUUCCCCCAAUAACAGCCCCACACAGAACUAUGCCUCACUACCUAAAAUGAACAUCCCUCCUUAUAACCGUCAUGAGCUUUCUUCUAGCAUUUUAUGACUAUGAAGAAAAUUAUGACAAAGGCAUGGGCUGUGACAAUUACAUGACAAAUCUGAGCAUCACUGAGCAAGGGCCCAGGCUGACCAAGUUCAGCACGAAUUAGGAGGCUCAGAGCGGUGCCUACUCUUCUGGCCCAGGUACCAAAUAGUGACCGGAUCGGGAGAUAGAGAAUGUUAUUCCUUGUCUAUUCUUUUCAAGUUCAGCUCAGGCUGAUACUAAAAUCCUCCCUGGGUGCGUCUGCAGGUGAAUAGAUAAAUGAAAGGUGGUCCAUCUUCCACAAUGGGUGAAAAGGAAUGAAGCACUUCCUCAAAAAACUCAAAACAGAACUGCUGUAGGAUGCCGCAGCUCCACUCCUGCGUAUCUAUCUGAAGAAAACGAACACACUAAUUUGAAAAGACACGUGUAUCCUGAAGUUCACAGCCACAGUAUUUACAAUGCCAGGAUAUGGACACGCCCUAAGUGUCCAUCCACAGAUGCUUGGAUAAGAUCUGGGUGCACAGACACACUCGACAUAAAGUAUUCCGCCACAAAAAGAUGAAAACUUGCCAUUUGCAGCAACAUGGGUAGAUGUAGAGGGUGGUUUGUUUAGUGAAGUAAGUCAGGCAGAGGAAGAUAAAUACUGUAUGCAAUCACUUACACAUGGAAUCUAAAAGUUAAAACAAAUCCGUGAACAUACAAACAAAACUGACUCAGAUAUAGAGAGCAAACUAGUGGUUAGCAGUGGGGAGAGGGAAGGGGGGGCAAGAUUAGGGGAGGGGAUUAGGAGACAGACUACCAUGGAUAAAAUGAGCCGUAAGGACAUAUUGUUCAGCACAGGGAAUAUAGCCAAUAUUUUAUAAUAACUACAAAAUGGAAUAUAAAUUUUAAAACUGUAACUCACUAUGUUGUAUACCUGAAACAUAAAAUAUGGUACAUCAGGUAUAUCUCAAUUUAAAAAAUGAUAUUCUAAGAGUUCCCAUUGUGGCGCAGUGGAAACGAAUCCAACUAGGAACCAUGAGGUUGCGGGUUCGAUCCCCAGCCUUGCUCAUUGGGUUAAGGACCUGGCAUUGCCGUGAGCUGUGGUGUAGGUUGCAGAUGCAGCUCAAAUCCUGCGUUGCUAGGCCAGCAACUGUAGCUCCAAUUCAACACCAAGCCCAGGAACCUCUAUAUGCCAUGAGUGCAGCCCUAAAAAGCAAAAAAAAAAAUUAAUUUAAAAAAUGACAUUCUAAUUGAGUCUACAGCAUAGACGAACACUGAAGACAUUAUGCUACGUAAAAGAGAACACCACAAAAGGCCAAAAGUGGAAUUUGUAAUUCCACUUAUAUGAAAUGCCCAGAAUAGGCAGAUCUGGAAAGAAGACUAGUGGUUUCCAAGGGCUGAGAGACAGAUUAACUCCUAUUGGGUGUGGGGUUUCUUUCGGGGGUGAUGAAAUGCUCUAGAAUGAGAUAGUGGCGAUGAUCACAUAGCUCUGAAUAUUCUAAAACUUCUGAAUUGCACAUUAUUAAAAGCCACCAUAAAAGAGGUCCAGGUACGUACUGAGACACCAGGAAGAGGAUGCUUUGGUGAACACCCCCACCUGGCUGGUGUCCUCGGAUGUCUUGAUUCUAAGACAGAGGAGGUUGAGAAGACCCCCACCCAUGCCCGACAAACACCACACUCAUUAGAAUGGAAACCCUGUGAGUGGGUGGACUUGCCAGUUGAUCGCUGUUGAGACCCUGCUGCCUAGAACCCACCCCAUCACACACACGUUGCAGACACUCGGUGGAUACUUGCUGAAUCAACAAAUGAAUAGAUGAAUGAAACCGCACAUCUGGGGCCUGGAGUGUAUCCAGGGAAUGACCUCCAUGUGUCAGUUAGUUUGGGCUGCGGUGGGGCUGCCGAGUGUCCAGGUGACCGCACACGGUCACCCGCAGUAACUGAGGUCUGGCCGCAGACAAGCAGGCUGAGCCCAGGCUGUCCGUGUCUUUCCCUCUCUCACCACUAGAGGGCAGGUGCAUCCCAUGGAUUCCGCCAAAGGGGUCGGCUCGGCUCCCUCGCCAAAGGCACCUCGGGCAACCAGGCGGGAACAGACCAGAUCAGGGCUCUGCCAAGAUCCCUUCUAACUCAGAGGUGCCAGGUGGAGAAAGGCCUGUGGCCUCUCUCUGGUUGUGAAGGGUGAAACAGGAGCUCAGGUCCUCUGCUGCCUCUGCUGUGGGGAUCCCCAGAUUAAGGGCUCCCAGCCUCUCUGUGUUCUGAACCAGGCCACCUUCUGGGGAGACAAGCUUGGGGGUGCGCCUUCCCGCACCCUCUCCCUGAAGUGAAGAGGCCAGGAAACUGCUGACAGGAAGAAGCAGAUCUGAGGAGUUGGGGGGGAAGGGGAUCUGGGGGUGGGGGGUUGCCCAAGGCUAUGUUUGGGAUAAAGGUCAGUCAUGGCCAGGCUGUCCUGGGGGCUUGGAAAUAUGCCUCAUCUCAGAUGAUCUUCAAGGUCCUUCAGGAGGUGGGAAUUAUUCCAAGUUUGCCGAUGAAGAGACUGAGGGUCAGAGUGGUUAGCUUGCCCAAGACCCUAAACUGCAUACCUGGGGAGUUCCCGUCGUGGCGCAGUGGUUAACGAAUCCGACUAGGAACCAUGAGGUUGCGGGUUUGGUCCCUGCCCUUGCUCAGUGGGUUAAGGAUCCGGCGUUGCUGUGAGCUGUGGUGUAGGUUGCNAUCUUGCCCAAGACCCUAAAUUGCAUGCCUGGGAUGUGACUGAGUAGGGACUCAAACCCAGGAGUGGCCUGGCUUCAGAGUUCCUAUUGUUCCUACUGAUUCCCCCUCGAGAUGGCCAAACAUGAGUAGACCAGGGCUUUGAUGAAGGUGCGAACUCUGGCUGCUGCAUUCUGUUACUUGAGUCAGAGAAGUGGGGCCGCGACUCGGAUCCAUCUCCUGAUUCCCAGGGCACCACACAGGUACUUCCGGUGGCAUUUCCUCCUCUGUAGAGCUGGUGGCGGUGACCUCCACUGCCCUCCACCCUGCUCUCCGAGAGGCAAAUGAACCCGUUCUGCUCAGGCCAGACAUGGAAAGGAAAGAAGGCUGUAGGCCUGAGACAGCAUGCAAACCCCCUCCUUUCAAAGGCAUUUGUGAGGAUUUGUACGUUUCUAAGGCAGAUUCCAGGCCUUUUCCUUUUUUCCUGUCCUUCUCAGCCACUCAUUUAUUUGGAUUCAAGGCAACAGCAGGGAACCGUGCUCCUUAGGGGACCAUGCAGAGUGCCUUGGGGAGUAGCAUCCUGGGGGGAGCAGCAUCCUAGGGGGAGCAGCAUCCUGGGGGGAGCAGCAUCGGUGGGAUGUGAGUUUUGGUAGCUCUGAGACCACCUCUAAGUCCCAGUGAGGCUCUGCCAGACCAGGGUCUCAAGCCCUCAAAGCCCAGGUUCCUUGGAAGAGAGGAUGGCUGGGCAUCUGGACCCAUGGUCUCACUCCUCUGCCGCUGCCCCUAGGGCUGGCAGCUGGGUCCCCAGGACACAGGGGGCAAUAGGGCUGCACAUCCCUGCCUGGCCCCUUCUGCCAGACACUCACCCUGGGCCAGACUGGAUGAAACAUUGGGGCGACGGGCCCCUCCCUCCCGAGUCACAGCCCCAUCUCUCUGCUGGCCGCGUAUGCUCUGACAUAAUCAUGCCUCCUACUCCUACUGCAAGGAACACUUUGCAGGUGGACGUUACUUUUUCCCAGGCACCCAAAUGCCCCAAAAGUUCUCCUCACUCCUGCCAUCGGGACACAGCACCAGGCUCCCUGAUUACUCAGAUACCCCGCCUCCUGGGGCUGCACCUCCCUCCCGAGCUAACAGUGAACGGAGUCCACUGCUGGGAGCAAAGGUGUGUUCAGGAUGGGGAAGUGCCUGGUAUCUAGUGGGGUGGGGACCUUCCUCCUCUGACCUCUUUAAGGGGAACAGGAGGACUCUGCCCCCAAGAGAGGCGAGGCGGGAGAGGAGGGGGACCGGUGGGAGCAGGUGGAAGGGGGCUGCAUGAAGGCGCAGCUGCAGCCACAGGGCCAGCAAUCCGGCCACACAGGGCUCAGCCCAUCCUCCUCACCCUUAGAGACUCUGGUGGUCCAGUGGGUCUGUGUCCUCCCCUGGAUGGGGCACUAGGAUGCCCCUUCAGGCCCUGCUGCCACGACCGAGCACAGGGGUCAGUGACAGCAAGGACCUGCCCAACCACUUGCCAGCUUUCUCCCUACGACGCACCUGUGCACAGUUAACACACACGACACAGACGGCAGGGGGUGGCACCUGCUGCACUUCCUACAGAGAGAGUCAGGAGCAAAGCGCUUGCAGUGAGUACAGAAAGACAUGAGCUGGGUCUCCAGGUCAUUCAGUAAAACUCAGUGACACCAUGGGCUUUAGGAAGAGGAGACCCAGGACUUGAGAUGCUGGCCUAAAGCCACAAAGUUUUUUCUUGUUCUAGGAUGCGAGCUCGGCUUUCCAGACACUGUCCAGUGGAAGAAUGAUUAUACUUUAAGGAUGCUGUAACCCCGUGUUUUUCAAACUGCAAGUAAAGACCUCUAGAGAGCCAUGAAAGCAAUUUAGUGGGAUGCGUAAUUUUUAAAAUAAAAUCAGAACAGAAAGAAAUCAAAUAGAAUAGAAUUAGAAGUCAAUAAAGUUUAAUUUCCCCAAAUAUUUGUUUCAUGUGUGUAUAUGUCUUUUUAUACACACAUGUGUGCGUGUGUGUAUUCACUGCAUAUGAGGUAAAAUUUUUUUUUUUUUUCGUACGGGUUGGCAUCAAAGAAAGUUUAACAUUUACUGGUUUAUGUUCCCGCUGUGGGGCAGCAGGUUAAGGAUCUGGCAUUGUCUCUAAGGUGGUGUGGGUUUGAACACCGGCCUGGUGCAGUGGGUUAAGGAUUCAGUGUUGCCACAGUGGCUCAGAUUCGAUCCCUGGCCCAGGACCUUCCGUAUGCCACAGGUGCAGACAUUAAAAAAGUAAUAAUAGAAGUUCCCAUCGUGGCUCAGUGGUU
RNAcentral lists this long non-coding RNA (5334 nucleotides) under Sus scrofa (pig). Its description in RNAcentral is "lncRNA (ENSSSCG00035003731.1)". Lineage: Eukaryota; Metazoa; Chordata; Mammalia; Artiodactyla; Suidae. The record is from RNAcentral.